GGGGGGGGGGGGGGGGGGGCGUGGGGCAGGCAGGGCGGACGGAAAGGCCCUGCGUUUGUGGGGUGCUCGAGUGGCGAACGGGUGAGUAACACGUGAGUAACCUGCCCUUGACUUUGGGAUAACUUCAGGAAACUGGGGCUAAUACCGGAUAGGAGCUCCUGCUGCAUGGUGGGGGUUGGAAAGUUUCGGCGGUUGGGGAUGGACUCGCGGCUUAUCAGCUUGUUGGUGGGGUAGUGGCUUACCAAGGCUUUGACGGGUAGCCGGCCUGAGAGGGUGACCGGCCACAUUGGGACUGAGAUACGGCCCAGACUCCUACGGGAGGCAGCAGUGGGGAAUAUUGCACAAUGGGCGGAAGCCUGAUGCAGCAACGCCGCGUGCGGGAUGACGGCCUUCGGGUUGUAAACCGCUUUCGCCUGUGACGAAGCGUGAGUGACGGUAAUGGGUAAAGAAGCACCGGCUAACUACGUG
RNAcentral lists this ribosomal RNA (468 nucleotides) under uncultured bacterium. Its description in RNAcentral is "partial 16S ribosomal RNA". It matches the Rfam family "Bacterial small subunit ribosomal RNA", at positions 38 to 507 of the family's 1533-position model. The record is from RNAcentral.